CAAGCUCGUACCCCGCGUGACAGCGGAAUGUCGCGAUCCAUACCCACAUAAGUGACACACCUAAAAAAAGGAGUCGAAUGUGGAUAUCGAAUUUAAGGGUACUUUUACCAUGGUAGCCCUCUCGAUAGUACGCUUCACCCAUUAGGAUGGCAUCACUCCAUCCUUUGGGCUACUCCCACAUCAAGUAUGCUAAACCAUAGUGAGUUUCAUCGAAACUCAUACCCCGCGUGACAACGGAUUUAUUUAUACGAUCUACUUAUUUAUGACAACCUAAAAAUAGACGGGAGUCGCUACUAGCCUUAACUUUGGGGGUCGGCUAGAAACCCAAUCGAGGGUCGGGAGUGUUCCCUCGAUUCCUACGCAACCAGAUAUCUAGGUUCGAGGACUUGGGUUACGCUAAUAUUGCUAUUAGCGCCCUUUCGGUACCUAAACAGUAUGUUGUAUUUUUCCUAAUAUGUCCAUGCGUUUCUUUUUACAUUUUCGGGAUCAUCAAUUCCUAGGCUAAGUGAUCAUGCGUGGUUGAUCAUUUUCAUGCUAUUCUAUUUCUAAAAAAAAAUGAAAAGAAAACAAUCAAUGAAAUUGAAAGUGCAAGACAUGAAGUAAACAAUCAAGAGA
Molecule: long non-coding RNA, 615 nt
Filed under: Eucalyptus grandis
Lineage: Eukaryota; Viridiplantae; Streptophyta; Magnoliopsida; Myrtales; Myrtaceae
Description: long non-coding RNA (EGRA_LNC003247)
Source: RNAcentral